GAGUAAUGCCUAGGAAUCUGCCUGGUAGUGGGGGACAACGUUUCGAAAGGAACGCUAAUACCGCAUACGUCCUACGGGAGAAAGCAGGGGACCUUCGGGCCUUGCGCUAUCAGAUGAGCCUAGGUCGGAUUAGCUAGUUGGUGGGGUAAUGGCUCACCAAGGCGACGAUCCGUAACUGGUCUGAGAGGAUGAUCAGUCACACUGGAACUGAGCCCGUCCAGACUCCUACGGGAGGCGCAGCAUGGGAAUAUUGGACAAUGGGCGAAA
This 267-nucleotide ribosomal RNA is filed under the name Pseudomonas putida. RNAcentral describes it as "partial 16S ribosomal RNA". It matches the Rfam family "Bacterial small subunit ribosomal RNA", at positions 108 to 380 of the family's 1533-position model. The record is from RNAcentral. Lineage: Bacteria; Pseudomonadati; Pseudomonadota; Gammaproteobacteria; Pseudomonadales; Pseudomonadaceae.